Molecule: ribosomal RNA, 164 nt
Filed under: uncultured bacterium
Lineage: Bacteria
Description: partial 16S rRNA
Rfam family: Bacterial small subunit ribosomal RNA
Source: RNAcentral
UAGGGAAUCUUCCACAAUGGGCGAAAGCCUGAUGGAGCAACGCCGCGUGUGUGAAGAAGGGUUUCGGCUCGUAAAGCUCUGUUGUUAAAGAAGAACACGUAUGAGAGUAACUGUUCAUACGUUGACGGUAUUUAACCAGAAAGUCACGGCUAACUACGUGCCAC